Molecule: ribosomal RNA, 460 nt
Filed under: uncultured bacterium
Lineage: Bacteria
Description: partial 16S ribosomal RNA
Rfam family: Bacterial small subunit ribosomal RNA
Source: RNAcentral
CCUACGGGUGGCAGCAGUGAGGAAUAUUGGUCAAUGGACGAGAGUCUGAACCAGCCAAGUAGCGUGAAGGAUGACUGCCCUAUGGGUUGUAAACUUCUUUUAUAUGGGAAUAAAAUGUUCCACGUGUGGGAUUUUGUAUGUACCAUAUGAAUAAGGAACGGCUAACUCCGUGCCAGCAGCCGCGGUAAUACGGAGGGUACGAGCGUUAUCCGGAUUUAUUGGGUGUAAAGGGAGCGUAGGUGGAUUGUUAAGUCAGUUGUGAAAGUUUGCGGCUCAACCGUAAAAUUGCAGUUGAAACUGGCAGUCUUGAGUACAGUAGAGGUGGGCGGAAUUCGUGGUGUAGCGGUGAAAUGCUUAGAUAUCACGAAGAACUCCGAUUGCGAAGGCAGUUCACUGGACUGCAACUGACACUGAGGCUCGAAAGUGUGGGUAUCAAACAGGAUUAGAUACCCGGGUAGUC